UUUAUUAAAUUAAAAUGAGACUUCUAAGCAGGUUGUCGCAGGUUCGAUUCCUGCAGGGGUCGCCA
This 65-nucleotide transfer RNA is filed under the name Gillisella taibaishanensis. RNAcentral's name for it is "Rhizobium taibaishanense tRNA-Arg". The record is from RNAcentral. Lineage: Bacteria; Pseudomonadati; Pseudomonadota; Alphaproteobacteria; Hyphomicrobiales; Rhizobiaceae.